Molecule: ribosomal RNA, 253 nt
Filed under: uncultured bacterium
Lineage: Bacteria
Description: partial 16S ribosomal RNA
Rfam family: Bacterial small subunit ribosomal RNA
Source: RNAcentral
UACGUAGGGUGCAAGCGUUAAUCGGAAUUACUGGGCGUAAAGCGUGCGCAGGCGGUUUUGUAAGUCUGUCGUGAAAUCCCCGGGCUCAACCUGGGAAUGGCAUUGGUGACUGCACGGCUAGAGUGUGUCAGAGGGGGGUAGAAUUCCACGUGUAGCAGUGAAAUGCGUAGAGAUGUGGAGGAAUACCGAUGGCGAAGGCAGCCCCCUGGGAUAACACUGACGCUCAUGCACGAAAGCGUGGGGAGCAAACAGG